CCUACGGGAGGUUGCAGUAAGGAAUAUUGGUCAAUGGACGCAAGUCUGAACCAGCCAUGCCGCGUGGAGGAUGAAGGUCCUCUGGAUUGUAAACUUCUUUUAUUUGGGAAGAAACUCCCGAUUUCCAUCGGGAUUGACGGUACCAGAUGAAUAAGCACCGGCUAACUCCGUGCCAGCAGCCGCGGUAAUACGGAGGGUGCAAGCGUUACCCGGAUUCAAGGGGUCUAAAGGGUGCAUAUAUGGGCAUGUAGAAAUCUCCGGGCGUAACCCGGAAACUGCCAUUGAUACUAUUUGUCUUGAAUACUCUGGAGGUGAGCGGAAUAUGUCAUGUAGCGGUGAAAUGCUUAGAUAUGACAUAGAACACCCAUUGCGAAGGCAGCUCACUACGGAAAUAUUGACGCUGAGGCACGAAAGCGUGGGGAUCAAACAGGAUUAGAUACCCCAGUAGUC
Molecule: ribosomal RNA, 450 nt
Filed under: uncultured bacterium
Lineage: Bacteria
Description: partial 16S ribosomal RNA
Rfam family: Bacterial small subunit ribosomal RNA
Source: RNAcentral